UCUUGGUCAUUUAGAGGAAGUAAAAGUCGUAACAAGGUUUCCGUAGGUGAACCUGCGGAAGGAUCAUUAAUGAAACUUCAAAGUCGGCCAAAGGUUGUUGCUGGUGAUUAUUCACAUGUGCACGCCUUUGGUCGCAAAUCCACACACACCUGUGCAUCUAUGACUCGAGGUUGUAAUGACUGAGAGUAACUUUUAUACACUCUUGUAUGUAAUGGAAUGUCUUUUUGUGCUAUAAUGUACAAUAUAAACAACUUUCAACAACGGAUCUCUUGGCUCUCGCAUCGAUGAAGAACGCAGCGAAAUGCGAUAAGUAAUGUGAAUUGCAGAAUUCAGUGAAUCAUCGAAUCUUUGAACGCACCUUGCACCCUUUGGUAUUCCGAAGGGUACGCCCGUUUGAGUGUCAUUGUAAUCUCACUUCUACAACUUUAUUGUUGUUUGAAUGUGGACUUGGAUGUUGCCGUUUUAUCACGGCUCGUCUUAAAUGCCUGAGUGUACCCUGUUUUGCAGCGUAUCCAGUGUAAUAAACAUUUCACUAGAGUUGGUCGAAAGACCGCGUUGACUAUAUGGGCUCUAUGCUUCAAACCGUCUGCCAUGUGGACAAUUUCUUGACAAUUUGACCUCAAAUCGGGUGGGACUACCCGCUGAACUUAAGCAUAUCAAUAAGCGGAGGAAAAGAAACUAACAAGGAUUCCCCUAGUAACGGCGAGUGAAGAGGGAAAAGCUCAAAUUUUAAAUCUGGUGUCUUUGACUCCCGAGUUGUAAUCUAGAGAAGUGUUUUCCGUGUCGGACCGUGUACAAGUUCCCUGGAACGGGGCGUCAUAGAGGGUGAGAAUCCCGUAUAUGCCACGGACUACCGAUGCUCUGUGAUACACUCUCAACGAGUCGAGUUGUUUGGGAAUGCAGCUCAAAAUGGGUGGUAAAUUCCAUCUAAAGCUAAAUAUUGGCGAGAGACCGAUAGCGAACAAGUACCGUGAGGGAAAGAUGAAAAGCACUUUGGAAAGAGAGUGAAACAGUACGUGAAAUUGUUGAAAGGGAAGCGUUUGAAGUCAGUCGCAUCUGUUGGGGUUCAGCCUGGCUUUUGCCUGGUGUAUUUCCUUUCCGAUGGGUCAGCAUCAGUUUCGACCGAGGGAAAAAGACAUUUGGAAUGUGGCUGU
Molecule: ribosomal RNA, 1154 nt
Filed under: uncultured Sebacina
Lineage: Eukaryota; Fungi; Basidiomycota; Agaricomycetes; Sebacinales; Sebacinaceae
Description: eukaryotic LSU rRNA
Rfam family: Eukaryotic large subunit ribosomal RNA (bases 615-1154)
Source: RNAcentral